GAUGAACGCUGGCGGCGUGCCUAAUACAUGCAAGUCGAGCGAACGGACGAGAAGCUUGCUUCUCUGAUGUUAGCGGCGGACGGGUGAGUAACACGUGGAUAACCUACCUAUAAGACUGGGAUAACUUCGGGAAACCGGAGCUAAUACCGGAUAAUAUUUUGAACCGCAUGGUUCAAAAGUGAAAGACGGUCUUGCUGUCACUUAUAGAUGGAUCCGCGCUGCAUUAGCUAGUUGGUAAGGUAACGGCUUACCAAGGCAACGAUGCAUAGCCGACCUGAGAGGGUGAUCGGCCACACUGGAACCGAGACACGGUCCAGACUCCUACGGGAGGCAGCAGUAGGGAAUCUUCCGCAAUGGGCGAAAGCCUGACGGAGCAACGCCGCGUGAGUGAUGAAGGUCUUCGGAUCGUAAAACUCUGUUAUUAGGGAAGAACAUAUGUGUAAGUAACUGUGCACAUCUUGACGGUACCUAAUCAGAAAGCCACGGCUAACUACGUGCCAGCAGCCGCGGUAAUACGUAGGUGGCAAGCGUUAUCCGGAAUUAUUGGGCGUAAAGCGCGCGUAGGCGGUUUUUUAAGUCUGAUGUGAAAGCCCACGGCUCAACCGUGGAGGGUCAUUGGAAACUGGAAAACUUGAGUGCAGAAGAGGAAAGUGGAAUUCCAUGUGUAGCGGUGAAAUGCGCAGAGAUAUGGAGGAACACCAGUGGCGAAGGCGACUUUCUGGUCUGUAACUGACGCUGAUGUGCGAAAGCGUGGGGAUCAAACAGGAUUAGAUACCCUGGUAGUCCACGCCGUAAACGAUGAGUGCUAAGUGUUAGGGGGUUUCCGCCCCUUAGUGCUGCAGCUAACGCAUUAAGCACUCCGCCUGGGGAGUACGACCGCAAGGUUGAAACUCAAAGGAAUUGACGGGGACCCGCACAAGCGGUGGAGCAUGUGGUUUAAUUCGAAGCAACGCGAAGAACCUUACCAAAUCUUGACAUCCUUUGACAACUCUAGAGAUAGAGCCUUCCCCUUCGGGGGACAAAGUGACAGGUGGUGCAUGGUUGUCGUCAGCUCGUGUCGUGAGAUGUUGGGUUAAGUCCCGCAACGAGCGCAACCCUUAAGCUUAGUUGCCAUCAUUAAGUUGGGCACUCUAAGUUGACUGCCGGUGACAAACCGGAGGAAGGUGGGGAUGACGUCAAAACAUCAUGCCCCUUAUGAUUUGGGCUACACACGUGCUACAAUGGACAAUACAAAGGGCAGCGAAACCGCGAGGUCAAGCAAAUCCCAUAAAGUUGUUCUCAGUUCGGAUUGUAGUCUGCAACUCGACUACAUGAAGCUGGAAUCGCUAGUAAUCGUAGAUCAGCAUGCUACGGUGAAUACGUUCCCGGGUCU
Molecule: ribosomal RNA, 1372 nt
Filed under: uncultured bacterium
Lineage: Bacteria
Description: bacterial SSU rRNA
Rfam family: Bacterial small subunit ribosomal RNA
Source: RNAcentral